This 894-nucleotide ribosomal RNA is filed under the name Clostridioides difficile. Its description in RNAcentral is "partial 23S ribosomal RNA". It matches the Rfam family "Bacterial large subunit ribosomal RNA", at positions 786 to 1686 of the family's 2925-position model. The record is from RNAcentral. Lineage: Bacteria; Bacillati; Bacillota; Clostridia; Peptostreptococcales; Peptostreptococcaceae.
GCGUUGAAAAGCUCGGGGAUGACUUGUGGGUAGCGGUGAAAUUCCAAUCGAGCCCGGAGAUAGCUGGUUCUCCCCGAAAUAGCUUUAGGGCUAGCCUCAAGGUGAGAGAUACGGAGGUAGAGCACUGAAUGUCCUAGGGGGUAUUGCACCUACCGAAGACUAUCAAACUCCGAAUGCCGUCAUCUUAUACUUGGGAGUCAGACUGUGGGUGAUAAGAUUCAUAGUCGAAAGGGCAACAGCCCAGAUCGUCAGCUAAGGUCCCUAAAUGUAAGUUAAGUGGUAAAGGAUGUGGGAUUGCACAGACAACCAGGAUGUUGGCUUAGAAGCAGCCACUCAUUCAAAGAGUGCGUAAUAGCUCACUGGUCGAGUGAUCCUGCGCCGAAGAUUUCCGGGGCUAAAACUUACUACCGAAGCUACGGCAUCAGUAAUGAUGGGUAGGGGAGCUUCCCAUACGGGUUGAAGCAUGACCGUAAGGACAUGUGGACAGUAUGGGAGUGAGAAUGUUGGCAUGAGUAGCGAGAUGUGGGUGAGAAUCCCACAGGCCGUAAACCCAAGGUUUCCAGGGGAAGGUUCGUCCGCCCUGGGUUAGUCGGGACCUAAGCUGAGGCCGAAAGGCGUAGGUGAUGGACAACAGGUUGAUAUUCCUGUACUACCGAUAACCGUUUGAGAGAAGGGAUGACACAGUAGGAUAAGCUAAGCACACUGUUGGUUAUGUGUGCCCAAGCAUUGAGGCAGUCAAAGUAGGCAAAUCCGCUUUGAUAAUGCUGGGAUGUGAUGGGGAGCGAAAUUUAGUAGCGAAGUAGCUGAUUUCACACUGUCAAGAAAAGUCUCUAUCGAGGUUAAAGGUACCCGUACCGCAAACCGACACAGGUGGGUGAGGAGAGUAUCCUAAGG